This is a non-coding RNA of Lonchura striata (white-rumped munia), 1146 nucleotides long. The record is from RefSeq and is a predicted model, not a curated record. Lineage: Eukaryota; Metazoa; Chordata; Aves; Passeriformes; Estrildidae.
AGAAUUUUCUCCUUAACUUCCAGAAGGAAAGAAUAAACAAUCCAGAAAAAGAGAAUGAACUCUUGAACAAAAACUAUGAUAAGCUGCAUAAGGAAGUUGAACAAUCUGGAUUAAAGUUACAUCACUUGGUUUUACGAAGUCAUGAAUUACAUCAAAUGAAACAAUACAGCAGCUGAGUGUAGAAUACAAAUAAAACAAUUUCCCUGCAGAGGACACUGCAUUGUCACUUCCAAACCCAACGGGUGGUCAGAGGAGUGACUGUAACUACAAAACUGUGCUGACUGAUACCCCAGAAGAUGAGCAGAACUUGAAUGUGAAGAUACUGAUUUUGCUGAAUCUGUUUGAAAAAGAUAUUCCAGAAUCAAAGAAAUACCAUUGAACAUGACAUUGGUGUAAAACCAAUACUGUGAAGUCUGCUCUAAAGUUGACAGUUCACUGAGUGAUUUGUUCAAGAAUAUACAAAAUGCUUUGGAACUCUAAGAAUGGCAUCCAAUCUGUCCCAUAAUAGGUCUUUCUACAGGGUAAGUGAUGGAAGGUUUAUCCUGUGUUUUCCCUGCUCUAAACCUCUUUUGAGCUAUCCCAGCAGCCUAGAAGUUGCAGCAUGGAGCAUCAUUGCAUGUCCCUGAGUACUUACCCUAAUUAUUAGAGUAAAUACAUAACCUUUCUAUUUGUCAGCUGUAAUUUGCUUUGAAAAGAUAUGCUGUCAAAAUUAUUUGUUUUUAUUCAAAUUCCUUCUAGAGCCAUGUUAGGCAGCCUCGUUGCUUUUUGUGCAGGCCUGUGAAAGAGCCUCUUUUUUGACUUAGCAGCAUGUUUUAAUCACAGCAGCAGAGAUUCUGGCCCUCUGGGCUUACUUGGAUAUUGUGAAAGAGUGUAAUUUUAAAUCAUGUCAGUUAAUUUCUUUAACAUAUAAAUUUUAAAUACUCCUUUAAAACCCACAUACACAAAGAUGAAGGUAGUUAGUUUAGUCUAGGGGAAUUAUCAUCUUUGCUUAUACUAUUUUACAGUAGCUUGGAAUUUAAAUAAUUUUGUGUUGCACAAACGGUAAAGAAAAAGUUGCUGUUUAAAUACUAAUAAUUGUCCAGGCUGACUUGGACCCAUCAUACACACGCAGUACAAAAAAUGCAUUAAUUGGUGUAUUUUUUACUU